This is a non-coding RNA of Chiloscyllium plagiosum (whitespotted bambooshark), 842 nucleotides long. Lineage: Eukaryota; Metazoa; Chordata; Chondrichthyes; Orectolobiformes; Hemiscylliidae. The record is from RefSeq and is a predicted model, not a curated record.
ACUCCACUAAAGCUUAAAUAGACAUUUGAAUAUUAUAGGAAUGCUCCUCCUUAUUAAGAAAAAUCUUAUAGCAGAAAGCUGACUAACAGACACAGGACGGUGUAGAUCUGUCGUCUCUGCCAAGGACGUGUCUUUAGAAGAGGUUCUGGCAGACAAUCCUAACCCUGAUAAGAUUGGAUCUCAUGAGCCAUAUGUAAACUAACUUCCAGGAACAGACUGCUAUUCUGCUUGACAUUGAGGAAGUUAGCCUUUACUUGGAAAGCAAUACAGCAGUUAUGAUGAAGACUGCAAUUACAGGAAACAACAGAAGUUGAUAACAGUGUGCCUGAAGUUUAAAGAUAGCACUGAGAGGAGCGACAGGAUAUUAUGAAUAAAAUCUACCUUUUCACGGAGAACUCUGUGCAGCGCCCUUUCAUCUGGGGUGUGAGACAGAGGAAGAAGGAAUGAAGAGGUGUCCGUCUGAUCUGUUACCAUAAUCAAGAAAGUGUUUAGCAUGUUGUCAGAUUUAUAGGCUGACUUAAUAUCAAAUUCAGAAUGGCAAGUAUUAUUCUUCAACUUGACACUGAUUCUUUGCAUAGUAACCUGAUCACCAAGACUAUUAUAGAAUUAUAGAAUAGUCACAUAAAACCACAAUUUGUAACCCCUUUUAUAAAUUACAGAGCAACUUGGACCUCAUAAAAAUACUGAUGCAAAACUGUAAAACAAAAAUGCUUAGGAUCACAAUCCUAAUAAUCUUUCUGAUGCUCACAACUAAAGUUGGCUGCACCUAGAAUUAUAGAAUCCCUACAGUAUGGAAUUAGUCCAUUCAGCCCAUCAAAUCCAUACAGACCUUCUGAACAGCA